Oxyura jamaicensis (ruddy duck) is the source of this 1622-nucleotide long non-coding RNA. RefSeq lists it as uncharacterized. The record is from RefSeq and is a predicted model, not a curated record. The transcript has 2 exons. Lineage: Eukaryota; Metazoa; Chordata; Aves; Anseriformes; Anatidae.
UGGUUCUGUAACAAACAAGAUCAUAGCUACAUAGAUGUGACUAGAAACCCACCAUCUACUUCCAGACAUACAAAAAUUAAUGAGACUGUUAUGAAAACACAGGAAAGCCCAUUCAGAAUUUCACAAACUUAAACUUUUUUGAUUUCUCCUUCAGUAGGGAUGGACAGGACAGGCUAUUAGAGGACCUUGUGCAGCUACUUCACACUUAACAUCAAUGUUGUUUUGUGCAUUUUUGUUGUUGUUGUUUUGUUUUGUUUUUUUGUCCAUCUGCCUCUCCCCCUGCCCAUCUCCAGAGUACUACUGGAAGAAGACAAGGGCAAUUUAAGAUCUGUAUAAUUGCUCAGAUGUGCACACCAUAAUGUAAAGAGAAAAAAAUCACGGAACCACAUUUUGAAACCUGAACCUUGGACUUCAGAAGGUUUAUGUCAGGUUAGCCAAGAAGAGAAUCCAUACCUAUCUCACAGAGCUAGAAAUCCAAUCCAUUUUUCAAACAUCUUCACUGUCACAAUCAAGCUCCAUGUGACUACCUUACUUUGGCUGACUUUGUUUCUGAGGUCUUGGCCUUUCAGUCUACAAGCAGCUGCAUAUUCAGAAUCAAGACCACAAUCCUUUUCAGCUCCUAACAGAAGCACAAGCAGGCAAGAUGAAUGCAACAUGCCAGUCUACAACUUACUUAGAAAAAAAAAUGCUUUGAGAUUUUCAUAAAAGACAAGAAAAGACUAAAAUAAUAUUUUACUAAACACCAUUUUUUCCUCUUACUGUACUUUCAAACAGCGUGUCAAAUCAGCAUAGUAAUGUUCAUUACUGGAUAGCUACUGCUGUACAGAUUCUAACAUAAAGAUCAAGUACAGCUUGUUUUUCAAGGCAGACAUACAACUGCUAAUACUGCUACUGCAGAAUCACUGGAAGGUAUUGAGAUACUGGACAACAAGUAGUUAAGUGCUUUAUGAAGUGAAUAACGUUUAAGAAAAAAGGAAUUCACAUGGUCCGGAAGUUCUUUCAACUGGCAGCAGAUAGCAUAUGAUGGACAAACAAUAGACAAGCCACAGAUAUGUAAUUCCUCCUUCAUUCUAUUAACUGUGCUCACUCUGCAGGGAUCUCACAAGACUAGCUCCUUCAACCGAUACAUGCAAACAACAUGGUUAACUACAGUCAGUAGCUGAAAUUCCAGUAAUUAAAGCAAAAUUGACACAGAAGAUGAUCUUAUUAAUUCUGUUUUACAGAAGAUCAAGGUGAACAUGCAGCAAUUUCCUACAGGUCACUUCAGUGCUAAAAAUUUAUUUUUCUGUAUCAUGGUACUCUAAACAGGAAUGCCAAAAAAUUAACAUUACCUUGAUCUCUUUUCCAAAAUACAAUCCCAUGCAUUUGCCCUGAAAUGCCAAUGUGACUGACUCUUUGAAGCUGCUGCUGAGGUAGAGCAGCAAGGCAUUCGUUCAGUGCUGUUAUUAUUCUCCGGACAUUCUGCUCCAUUCCCUGUAAUCACGAAGCAUUAUACCAAGAUGAAGCCAUUAGGACUCACUGUAUUUAUUAAACAAGGCUACUCUAGUCUGAAGUGAAGAAUGGAAUUCAUUUAGGUUAAUAACAUGCAUCAGAGUAACAUUCACUACUAAAGUGAAAGUUUG